UACAUGGGGUGCAAACGUUGCUCGGAAUUAUUGGGCGUAAAGCGCGCGUAGGCGGUUACUCAAGUCGGAUGUGAAAGCCCUCGGCUUAACUGAGGAAGUGCACCCGAAACUGAGUAGCUAGAGUACCAAAGAGGGUCGCGGAAUUCCCGGUGUAGAGGUGAAAUUCGUAGAUAUCGGGAGGAACACCAGUGGCGAAGGCGGCGAUCUGGGAAGAUACUGACGCUGAGGUGCGAAAGCGUGGGGAGCAAACAGG
RNAcentral lists this ribosomal RNA (253 nucleotides) under uncultured bacterium. RNAcentral's name for it is "partial 16S ribosomal RNA". It matches the Rfam family "Bacterial small subunit ribosomal RNA", at positions 524 to 776 of the family's 1533-position model. The record is from RNAcentral.